RNAcentral lists this long non-coding RNA (3317 nucleotides) under Haliotis rubra (blacklip abalone). Its description in RNAcentral is "uncharacterized LOC124256035". The record is from RNAcentral. Lineage: Eukaryota; Metazoa; Mollusca; Gastropoda; Lepetellida; Haliotidae.
AAGUAACUGCGUUAUGAAUCCAGAGGGGAGGUUCGCAAAACGUCCCAUUUGGUUUGUGGAUUGAUUUGUUAUUGCGCACUGUCAACAUGGCAAGUUAACAGUCCCAGUGUUGACCAAUCAUUAUUCGAUCAAAGAGGUAAGAAUGUCGUUACCAAGAGCUCCAGUUUCCCGUACAACCCAAGUGCGUGUUCUGGGCAAACUGCUGAAGGGUCCUCCAUGUGUGACUGAUGAAUGGGAGUAUGCUGUGGCUGAUAUAUGGAUAAGUAAGCUCAAAGACCUGCUGAAUGACCAUCAGAAAACAGGGAAAUGUCCUUCCAUGACAAGCUCAUUCAAUGACACAGAAAAUAUUUUUGUGGGAGAAUCUGUCUGGAAGGUGCUGGUGUCAUGGUAUGGCCUAGGGAGGAUUACAACCUGCACAGACGACCAUGUUCCUCCAAGUACACGCAUUCCUGGGCAGGGAGACUCAUACAUUCUGGCAGACAAACACCUUGACUUCAUUCAUAUGACAGUCUGUCUCCUGGACCACAUUGACUGCGUGAACAAACAGCAUUUCAUACAGGUCUUCUUCUGGGAGGAUGUCAAUUUUUCUGGAACUGCUGCUGUGCAGAUCUAUUGGGGUUUCAAUGGAACAUGGUCAUCGGAUAUGGGUCUCUGUCAAGAUAGAUGAAAAUGAAGUGUUUUUGGGACUUUGGAUUCACAAGAAAUAAUUACAGCUGGAAGUUUUGGUGCAUUCCUGACUUUGAAGGUACCAGGUUUGCUUGACAAACUAAUAAAGAGACAUGGACUUCCUCCUCCCUACUGCAAGUCAAGCAUCUUUGGACUCUUUCUCCUCUGCCAAAGGACACCUGUCUGAGGUUCUGCAAAGACUUCGGGAUCAGUGUCAUGUUAUGUCUCUGGAGGAGACAGGGGGAAACAGCCUUACCCUCUGCAUCAUAGGAUCUCAUGUCUGUCUGGCAUCAGUCCUAAUCUUGUGGUAGCUCAUCAACAACAUAACUGUUCACGGGUACUGGAUGAAACCUUGAAUACAUUUGAGAAGGAGGAGGUACAGUUUCUGGUAAAGACAAAAGCGAGAUGAUGUGUUCCAAGAUGUUGAGAAACUCAUCAAGGACAAAAGAGUGCAGCUGCAGAGCAACUGGAGCAAGAUGUAGGAAAGCAAAGGCUGAGCUUGGUGUGCAAGAGAAGAGGUUUAGAGAACGUGAAAAAGACUUGGAUGAGCGGGAACAUGACCUUAAUGUGAAAGUAGACAAGUUCAAGCGAGGCUUGACGGAUUAUUUGAUGCAGAGGAAGAAGCUGGAAGAAGAGUUGAAAAGAAUUGAAGAACAGAAUAGAUUCACAGACACCAAAGUGGAGUUGAAUGUUGGAGGAUCGAAGUAUACAACAUCAACAGUUACGCUUAACCAAAGAACCAGAUUCAUUAUUAGCACUGAUGUUCAGUGGGCGACAUCAUGUCCAGAAAGAUGGUGAGGGCUCCUACUUUAUUGACCGAGAUGGGACCAAUUUUAGAGUCAUAUCUUGAACUAUUUGCAUUGAUGGUACAAGGUCAUUAAGACAGUCUCAGGAAUCAGACUGCAUUACUCCAAGAGAUACUGGUUGAGGCAGACUUCUUUAGACUGUCAGGAUUAUCUCAAGCCAUCAACACCAUGAGGUCAAGCCAGACAUCAGGCACAUGUUCCAGUAUGCCAACACAAUACUGACAACCCUAUCCUUUUCAAGCAGGGAACACAGGCCUUGGAAACAGCUGUUUCUAGACAAGCAGAAAGCCUAAAAAACUUCCUAGACAUGCAGAAAUCCAUAAAGAUGUUUUGAGAUGUGCACUAAGCCUUAGAAAAGCUGUUUGUAGACAUGCAAAAAGGAAAGUGACACAACUCAUUCAGUUGUAAUAUAGGACUGUAUUCAUGGGCUUUUAGAGUUUCAUAUUCACCACUGCUAAAUAUACAUUCUAAUGUUUAACACUUAAUUAGCAUUACAGUACAAUCCAAGGUGGAAAACAAUCAUUUUUGUUCAAAUUUGUUUCCGCAUUAAAACUUGGAUUUGACUUGAAAUUAUUUAGUCUUGAUUGGAGAGCUUGAUAUAUAAUAGGUUGAAUAUCUUGAAACUCAAGUUAUGUACUGAGAAGUGGCAGGUAUGCAUCCCAUGCAGAUUGAUGUAUAAUAUCCAGUCAUUAGAAAUAAGUUGGCAGUGAGGUCCUUGUGCUUUCUUCUAUUGUACAUCUACAUAUUUUAUGUAUAGAGAGUAUUAGAAAAUUGUGUGUGUCAUACAGCUUCUAUGAAACAAGUAUCUGAAGUCUUGUAUAUCCUGAGCUUGAGAGCAAUGUAUCAGGUCUUACAUACAGUAUUUUGUAAGAUCAGUACUCAGAAGAGUGUGAUAAUUUCAUUAUUACACAUUAUUUACACAUUCUUGAGAUCACCUUCAGGAAAAUGCAUUGAUCAUAAUCACAGUCUUAGAAAAUCACAUUUGUCAAAUGACGCCAAAAAAUCUUCAAUUACCCAGGUGUAUGACAUAUUUUCUACCAUGAAGUCAUUCUGACUUAUGUCUCAGUAAGAUCAAAAUGUCAAUACUGCUGUCAAGAUGAUGUAAAUAACAAUCUGGAGCUGAUAUUUGCACUUGAGCUCUUAUGGUUUUCCUGAACUUCAUUAAUAUAUUACAUAAUGACCCGGUGACAUAUUUUUCCUGUGUAAAUACUGGCAAAUAUUAGAGCGGCAGUAUAUGUUGUAUGUGAUGUUCUUCCAGACAUCCAUGACCACACAUAAAUCUUUUGUAGGUGGUCAUCUUUAAAUACCCAACCAAAUCACAUGUAUAAUGUCUCUACAGGUGAGAAAGAGAUCCCUAUAUCACUUGGCAAUGCUUGCUGUGAAAUGGCUAGUGUUUGUGAGGAUCUGUUGAAUACACAUGUUGUCAAAAUGUAAUGAUUCUGUCAAAUAAGUACAUUAUCAUUAAAAAUGUGGCUCUUCGUAGCCUUGUGGGUGAAACUUUUCGCUUGUUGCACCGAGGACCUUGUUUCAAUUACCUUCAAUGAUACUAUGUUUGAAGUCAUUGCUAAUACAUUGCUGAAAGAACAUUGGUCAUGUUCUUUUCUGAAUACAUACUGAUAUAUCUGUAUGAUGUUAUAUUGAUACAGAAUGAUUUGUUUCCAUAUCAACAUGAUGAAAGUUUGUUGUUGAGUAAUGAAGCUCUGUCUUCCAUUACUUUGUUGGUAGUGGACUCUCUCCUCUGUGGCUCCAGGGGAGAAGUGAUAGACAAGCACAGUCAAUUGUUUAUUUUAUGUCUUUAAUAUGACUCUUUGUGUUUUAUGAGUAAAAUAAAAUCAUCAAAACCAU